Haliotis rufescens (red abalone) is the source of this 451-nucleotide long non-coding RNA. RefSeq lists it as uncharacterized. Lineage: Eukaryota; Metazoa; Mollusca; Gastropoda; Lepetellida; Haliotidae. The transcript has 2 exons. The record is from RefSeq and is a predicted model, not a curated record.
AACUGUUUUGGGUUGAGCCCAAUUGGGGAUUUGAACCCACACUGCCAGAGUGAGGCACCUUAUCACUAGCACACUAGGUCAGCGAUCUAACCCACUCAGCCACCAAGGCUUCCACGGAAUGAAAGUGACUAAGAAAGUGUUAUCCCAAAUAUAACAUUUGUUACAUUUGAUCACUUUCUGAAUGGUAUUGUGUAUUCAAAACAAGGACUGAUCGGUAGAAAAGCUAUGAUGCUAAAAAUAGAAAUCAUGUAAGCCUCACUUUGGGAUCUAGAAGCGCUUUGAAUGAAUGCUGGAUGGCCAUCUUUCAAACCUGUCUUGCACCUUGGUGAUAGGCUGUAACCGAUACGCUAAAAGGUCCUUUCUUAACUUUUUUUUAGAUGGUUUAUAACAUUAGGGGAGGAGAGGAAAAGGGUGAAAUCAACUUCCAGACUAGUACUGCUAUUGAAGACUG